GUCAGGAUCGCCAAGUGGAUUAAGGCUCUGGUCUGCAAAACCAGCAUUUUACGUGGGUUCGAAUCCCACUCCUGACU
This 77-nucleotide transfer RNA is filed under the name Richelia sp. RM2_1_2. Its description in RNAcentral is "tRNA-Cys". It matches the Rfam family "tRNA". From Rfam's summary of the family: Transfer RNA (tRNA) molecules are approximately 80 nucleotides in length. Lineage: Bacteria; Bacillati; Cyanobacteriota; Cyanophyceae; Nostocales; Nostocaceae. The record is from RNAcentral.